UACGUAGGGGGCAAGCGUUAUCCGGAUUUAUUGGGUUUAAAGGGUGCGUAGGCGGACGCUUAAGUCAGCGGUAAAAUUGCGGGGCUCAACCUCGUCGAGCCGUUGAAACUGGGUGCCUUGAGAGGGCGAGAAGUACGCGGAAUGCGUGGUGUAGCGGUGAAAUGCAUAGAUAUCACGCAGAACUCCGAUUGCGAAGGCAGCGUACCGGCGCCCAACUGACGCUGAAGCACGAAGGCGUGGGUAUCGAACAGG
This 252-nucleotide ribosomal RNA is filed under the name uncultured bacterium. Its description in RNAcentral is "partial 16S ribosomal RNA". It matches the Rfam family "Bacterial small subunit ribosomal RNA", at positions 524 to 776 of the family's 1533-position model. The record is from RNAcentral.